CAAAAUUCAAAAUAUUUUUAUUCAACUAAACUUUUACAAGUACUUUUCAAUCUUCAAAUGCAUCUAGCACUGGUUCAGAAUGUCUUUCCUACC
Long non-coding RNA from Maniola jurtina (meadow brown), 93 nucleotides. RefSeq lists it as uncharacterized. The transcript is spliced from 2 exons. Lineage: Eukaryota; Metazoa; Arthropoda; Insecta; Lepidoptera; Nymphalidae. The record is from RefSeq and is a predicted model, not a curated record.